This 253-nucleotide ribosomal RNA is filed under the name uncultured bacterium. RNAcentral's name for it is "partial 16S ribosomal RNA". It matches the Rfam family "Bacterial small subunit ribosomal RNA", at positions 524 to 776 of the family's 1533-position model. The record is from RNAcentral.
UACGAAGGGGGCUAGCGUUGUUCGGAAUUACUGGGCGUAAAGCGCGCGCAGGCGGUCUUCCAAGUCAGUGGUGAAAGUCCGGAGCUCAACUCCGGAACUGCCAUUGAAACUGUUGGACUUGAGUACGAGAGAGGUGAGUGGAAUUCCCAGUGUAGAGGUGAAAUUCGUAGAUAUUGGGAAGAACACCGGUGGCGAAGGCGGGUCACUGGCUCGUAACUGACGCUCAGGCGCGACAGCGUGGGGAGCAAACAGG